Molecule: long non-coding RNA, 308 nt
Filed under: Salmo salar (Atlantic salmon)
Lineage: Eukaryota; Metazoa; Chordata; Actinopteri; Salmoniformes; Salmonidae
Description: lncRNA (ENSSSAG00000102168.1)
Source: RNAcentral
GGUGAUGUGGUGGUGGUGGUGGUGCGAUGUGGUGGUGGUUGUGCGAUGUGGUGGUGGUAGUGUGAUGUGGUGGUGGUAGUGUGAUGUGGUGGUGGUGGUAGUGUGAUGUGGUGGUGGUGGUAGUGUGAUGUGGUGGUGGUAGUGUGAUAUGGUGGUGGUGGUAGUGUGAUGUGGUGGUGGUGGUAGUGUGAUGUGGUGGUGGUAGUGUGAUGUGGUGGUGGUAGUUGUGAUGUGGUGGUGGUGGUGGUAGUGUGAUGGUGGUGGUGGUGGUAGUGUGAUGGUGGUGGUGGUGGUAGUGUGAUGGUGGU